UUUCUUUGCUGGCGACCGGCGCACGGGUGAGUAACACGUAUCCAACCUGCCCUUUACUCGGGGAUAGCCUUUCGAAAGAAAGAUUAAUACCCGAUAGCAUAAUGAUUCCGCAUGGUUUCAUUAUUAAAGGAUUCCGGUAAAGGAUGGGGAUGCGUUCCAUUAGGUUGUUGGUGAGGUAACGGCUCACCAAGCCUUCGAUGGAUAGGGGUUCUGAGAGGAAGGUCCCCCACAUUGGAACUGAGACACGGUCCAAACUCCUACGGGAGGCAGCAGUGAGGAAUAUUGGUCAAUGGGCGCUAGCCUGAACCAGCCAAGUAGCGUGAAGGAUGAAGGCUCUAUGGGUCGUAAACUUCUUUUAUAUAAGAAUAAAGUGCAGUAUGUAUACUGUUUUGUAUGUAUUAUAUGAAUAAGGAUCGGCUAACUCCGUGCCAGCAGCCGCGGUAAUACGGAGGAUCCGAGCGUUAUCCGGAUUUAUUGGGUUUAAAGGGAGCGUAGGUGGACUGGUAAGUCAGUUGUGAAAGUUUGCGGCUCAACCGUAAAAUUGCAGUUGAUACUGUCAGUCUUGAGUACAGUAGAGGUGGGCGGAAUUCGUGGUGUAGCGGUGAAAUGCUUAGAUAUCACGAAGAAC
Molecule: ribosomal RNA, 628 nt
Filed under: uncultured Bacteroidales bacterium
Lineage: Bacteria; Pseudomonadati; Bacteroidota; Bacteroidia; Bacteroidales
Description: bacterial SSU rRNA
Rfam family: Bacterial small subunit ribosomal RNA
Source: RNAcentral